UGAGGAAUAUUGGUCAAUGGACGGAAGUCUGAACCAGCCAAGUAGCGUGCAGGAUGACGGCCCUAUGGGUUGUAAACUGCUUUUGUAUGGGGAUAAAGUUAGGGACGUGUCCCUAUUUGCAGGUACCAUACGAAUAAGGACCGGCUAAUUCCGUGCCAGCAGCCGCGGUAAUACGGAAGGUCCAGGCGUUAUCCGGAUUNAUUGGGUUUAAAGGGAGCGUAGGCUGGAGAUUAAGUGUGUUGUGAAAUGUAGACGCUCAACGUCUGAAUUGCAGCGCAUACUGGUUUCCUUGAGUACGCACAACGUUGGCGGAAUUCGUCGUGUAGCGGUGAAAUGCUUAGAUAUGACGAAGAACUCCGAUUGCGAAGGCAGCUGACGGGAGCGCAACUGACGCUUAAGCUCGAAGGUGCGGGUAUCAAACAGGAUUAGAUACCCUGGUAGUCCGCACAGUAAACGAUGGAUGCCCGCUGUUGGUACCUGGUAUCAGCGGCUAAGCGAAAGCAUUAAGCAUCCCACCUGGGGAGUACGCCGGCAACGGUG
Molecule: ribosomal RNA, 540 nt
Filed under: uncultured bacterium
Lineage: Bacteria
Description: bacterial SSU rRNA
Rfam family: Bacterial small subunit ribosomal RNA
Source: RNAcentral